This 3102-nucleotide long non-coding RNA is filed under the name Homo sapiens (human). Its description in RNAcentral is "non-protein coding lnc-BOD1-5:1". The record is from RNAcentral. Lineage: Eukaryota; Metazoa; Chordata; Mammalia; Primates; Hominidae.
AAUUUAAGAAAAUCAAAAUUAUAUCAAGUGUGCUCUCAGACCACAGUGGAAUAAAAUUGAAAAUCAACUCAAAAAGGAACCCUCAAAACCAUGCAAAUACAUGGAAAUUAAAUAACUUGUUCCUGAAUGAUCAUUGGGUCAGCAAUGAAAUCAAGAUGGAUAUUUAAAAAUUCUUUGAACUGAAAAAUAAUAGUAAGCCUAUCAAAACCUCUGGGAUACAGUAAAAGCAGUGCUAAGAAGAAAGUUCAUAGCAUUAAAUGAGGAAAAGGAAUGCCUGGUGGGGAUAUGAGUGCAAGGACAGGCAUUGGGCCAUUUGCAUUCCACAUCCUUCUAAAGAAGACCCCUCUGCGGCCAGGUGUGGUGGCUCACGCCUGUAAUCCCAGCACUUCUCCCUUGAUGCCUGUGUCACUCCCACCUAGACUGGCAGCCCCAUGAGAGCAGGGACCUUGUCAUUCUUGGCCACUGCUGUGUCCCUGGUGGCCAGAAUGGUGAUGCAAUGAGCCAAGAUUGUGCCACUGCACUCCAGCCUGGGCAACAGAGUGAGACCCUGUCUCGAAAAAAAAAAAAAAAGAACUAAUAACUUUUUUAAUAUAGGUAUGUCUCAAAUAUUGCACAGGGCAUACUUGUAUUAAAAAAAUCAUUAUCGGACAAUCAAAUUGAACUGGGCAACCUGUUUUCUCUGGCAACCCUAGGUGGGCGGAUACUUACCAGCUCAUGAAACAAGCUGGACCCAGGAGCUCAGGUGACAUCGUGACAUCAUGAGGAGGCUCUGUCUCCCCGACUCCCAUCUCUGGGCUUUGCUUCUGUAGCCUCAGGGAGGCUUAUCCCCUGUGAGGGUAAAAAUAGCCAUCAACUGCCCCUGCUCCUGAGGACCGGUUACAGAAGACUUCCUCCCUCCUCCUCUCCUUCCCACCCUGUGCCCACGCAGAGCCCUAGCCCUGCCUCAGGGAUCACCCUUGUUUACCAAGCUGCAGCUUUCUGCUUGGGCAGCUCUUCAGAGGCCGCCUCUGACCUGGCCAUCCACAGCUAGCUCUCCACACCUAAGCCACUUCGCCUCCAGAUUUUAGUUUCCUAAUCUGUGGUGUUAGAGGACUUGACCUGCCAGGGGUCACAAACUCAAACAACACUAGAGUUUAGGCCAGGACUUUAAAUAAAUAGGCUCCUGGAGACAGCAGCCUCAUCUAAAGGGAGUAGGUACAACUCAGCUCUUGUUCUUUGCUGUCAAGCAGGAAAGCAGGCCCAGGAUUGCCAACACUUCAGAUUCUCUGAAAGAACUAGAAAUCUGGAUAUUUAAGGAAAAAAUUCCCAAUUAUGAGUGGUGGUCCCCUAUUGCAAUCUAGAGCUGGGCUCUCAGAGGGAUUGCUGGAAACUGCAUGCCGUGGAAUGCCUGAGGGUGCUAUUUAAAAUGCGGAUUCUCUGGCCCCACACAGAACCUCUGGAACCAGCACCCAGAAAUCUGCCUUUUAGCAGGCACCUUCAGAUGAGGCUUAGGCCCAUUAAAAUGUGAGAACUACAAAUCCUGGAUUUUCCAUUUUAAUAAAGUUGGCCCUUCAUUUGCACCCAUUACAAUGGGGACAGGAUCACCUCUCGUUUAGCAUUUUCUCCCCAAUCAUUCCACCCUCCAUCCCAGUGCAACCUCAGAGCUUAGCAGGUGAAGGAACCAGGGCUUUGUGGAGCAGGAGCACCUGCCACCUGCACAACCCAGAGGGAAAGGACUUCGAUCCCCAUUUUAUUCACAGAUGAGAAACCUGAGGCUCCAAGAGGGGAGGUGACUUGCCCAAAGUCACAAAGCCAACAGUGGAGGAGCUGGAGUUCAAAUCCCAGUCCAUGUGACAUCAGAGCCCCCUGGGGAACUUUCCACCAAGCCAAACGGUCUCUUCUCAAGCGGAAACAGAAGAAAGGCAAUCAUCAUGUUGAGAGAACACUAUUGGUUCAGAGAUCUUCUCUCCCAAAGUCAGCUGCUAGCAUGACCAGUGCAGAGCGGCUGAUCAUCUGUGACAGAGGAGGGGGAACUCACCAGGGUCCUGAGAAGGAGAAGGGGGAGGCAAGGCAACCUUGAUAAAAGCGAAUGGCUCCCGGGGACAGGACAAGGGCUGCUACAGACAUCAGUUCUGAUGCACCCCCAUGUCCAUUCAGUGCCCACGGCAUCUCCCAGAAACACGGGGAGUGGCUGUCUGGCUCUGAUCUUCACCAUCUAGCCCCCACGCCCACCACCUGGCAAGUUUAGCUUGAGUUAACUAUUGCAACUGUGAAGUCUUAAAUCACAGGGAGAUCAGGCAUUUGGCAGCUGGGGGUCCCACUACACUUCGUUGUGGUCUCUAUGUCUGGCUACCAUUAGGUCAAUCAGUGCACAUGCAUGUCAUCUGGCCAUGGUUUAGUGAGGUGCAGAUUUGGAGUGAACAUUCGCUGAGUACCUCCUGUAUGCGCUGUGCUUUGUUAGGCACAAAUGACUGGAAUUUGAUGUGCUGUGUUCCAAUAGAACACAAAAGGCAAGCUGCCCCCAAAGCGCUAUCAGAAUAGACAGGAGAGAGGUGACCUUCACGUGGGAAGAAUGCAGGGCAAGCUUGUGAAGGAGGUGGCCUUGGAGCUGGGAUGGCAAAGAUGUGUUGGAACUGAGCCACACAGAAAUGAGAAGGUUAGGGCAUUCUCUGUGGCAUAAACUGUGAGCCAAAGGCAUGGAACCGAUUCUAGCCCCAUCAAUUCUGCCUCCCUAACACUUCCUGUCUGUCCCGGAAGCCCAGCACAUCCCAAAUCUCAAUUAUUCACACAAACCCCUCCAGCUGCUCCCUCUGCCCGGCCUUGCCCCCUAUACCCCCUCACAGGUAAGCUUCUCCUGCUUACUCCCCAAAACGCCAUCCAUCUCAGUCUGCUUCCUGGGAAACUCAACCUAAGGCCCCUUCCGAGGGCGCUCAUCACAUUCAGAGCUGCCACCUGCUCAUCUCCCGGCAGCCCCUUCCCAACUAAGACCCCAGCAGAGGAAGCCUGGGAACCUCAGACCUUCGCAAAAGGCCUUGUGGCACCAAAGCCCCAGGGUCACCUCAACCUCCACAAGCUCAGAAAGCCUUGAAGGUUGUUGGGCUUCUUUAUUUAUACGUUUUACUA